Molecule: ribosomal RNA, 112 nt
Filed under: Caerostris darwini
Lineage: Eukaryota; Metazoa; Arthropoda; Arachnida; Araneae; Araneidae
Source: RNAcentral
AACGGCCGUACCAUGCUGAAUAUACCGGUUCUCUUUAGACCACCGAAGUUAAGCAUCAUUGGGCGCGGUCAGUACUUGGGUGGGUGACCACCUGGGAACACUGUGUGCCGUU